AUUGGUUUUACUUCAGUUGGAUAUAAAUGAUUUUAUAAAGUUAAAUAAUAUUGUUUUAAUUAUUAUCAUAUUAGUUGUGAAAAUGGCUUUCUACUUCUCGUGGUAGUUUAUUUUUAAAGAAAAAGGUUUCCGUGUGUAAAAUGCUUUUAAAAAGGGUUUUUCGCUUUUCAUAAGUUUUUGUAUUUUAAAAUAAGUUUCCGGAUGGAAAAACGUUUUAAACUGAUAGAUGUGGAUUUAUAAAUAAAAUAUUAUAAUCUUGUGAUUGACCGAAUGUGAUUCGUAUUUUGUGAUGUGGUGAAUGUAUAUAGUUGUAUACAUACUGUGGUUGUAUCUUGUACUUGUGCGACGUCAUACAAAUAUAGAAAAAAAACUCUGUCCGUGUGAACAGUGGAUUUUCUAUAUUUAUGACGGAUCUAACAUCUCCUGGGGUCAAGACUUAAAAAAAAAAAAAAAUUAGACACUUCCGCAUCAAUUCUAACACUUCAAAGGAACCCAGAGCAUGACAAGUUUAUUAGGAAGUGUUGAUGAGAUUAAGUUGUUGAAUAUGAAGUCUAGAUUGUACUUAUCCUUAGGAAGUUCAAGCCCAAUAAAUAAAAGCUUUGGAAUCCACGAAAGCUGUAGCGUAGAAACCUGGGAACUCCGCUCCAAGAUUUAUUUAUUUGUGUAGCCUCUUUAUAAAAAAAAAAAAUUCCUAUCUAGCCCCCUUUUGAAAAAUAUUCCCAAUCUAGCCUCAUUUUUAUAAAUUAGAAAAAAGAAUGAUAAGUUAAUAAUUUUUAUAUAGAUUAAUAUGUUAAGUGGGUGGAGAUUAUCUCUUUUUCUCUCCUUUUAAAUUAAGUGAAUAUAAUGUGAUUUUAUAUAUGAACACUUAAUAAAAAAUUUAUUUAUUAAUAAUAAUAUUUCUAAAUUAUAAUUUUUUAUUAGUACUAUUAGUACUUAAUUUGAUUAUACAAGUCAAUAUGAUUUAAAAGUGUUCAUAUAUAAAAUCACAUUACAUUCACUUAAUUUAAAAGGAGAGAGAAAAAAGAUAAUCUCCACCUACUUAACAUAUUAAUCUAUAUAAAAAUUAUUAACUUAUCGUUUUUUUUUCUAAUCUAUAAAAAUGAGACUAGAUUGAAAAUAUUUUUCAAAAAGGAGGCUAGGUAAAAAAAAAUUUUUGUAAAGAAGCUAGACAAGUAAAUAGUUCCCACUCCAAUACGAUCACUAUUCUUUCCACUUUCCACUUUAUUUAUCCUUUACGCAUGGCUUUUCCUAAAUAGUUAAGAUUCUCUCUUUCUCUCUCCAUAUUCCACUCCACUAUUAUGUUUUUUUUUUUUCGAGAAAGAGGUAGUGCGCUACCUACUUCAUUCAUUAAGCAAAAUGAACUAAGCGUACAAUAUGGAAGCAGUUAGGGCCUCCGAAAAAGAUACAGCAAAAAAAUACAAGGCGGGAAGGAAAUGUAGAGAGAGGAAGGGAGAAAAGAGUAGAAAAGUGGUCAGAGG
Molecule: long non-coding RNA, 1478 nt
Filed under: Ananas comosus (pineapple)
Lineage: Eukaryota; Viridiplantae; Streptophyta; Magnoliopsida; Poales; Bromeliaceae
Description: long non-coding RNA (ACOM_LNC035573)
Source: RNAcentral